RNAcentral lists this ribosomal RNA (521 nucleotides) under uncultured bacterium. Its description in RNAcentral is "bacterial SSU rRNA". It matches the Rfam family "Archaeal small subunit ribosomal RNA", at positions 345 to 866 of the family's 1478-position model. The record is from RNAcentral.
AACCUCCGCAAUGUGAGAAAUCGCGACGGGGCGAUCCCAAGUGCCAUUCUUAACGGGAUGGCUUUUCAUUAGUGUAAAAAGCUUUUGGAAUAAGAGCUGGGCAAGACCGGUGCCAGCCGCCGCGGUAACACCGGCAGCUCUAGUGGUAGCAAUUUUUAUUGGGCCUAAAGCGUCCGUAGCCGGUUUAAUAAGUCUCUGGUGAAAUCCUGUAGCUUAACUGUGGGAAUUGCUGGAGAUACUAUUAGACUUGAGACCGGGAGAGGUUAGAGGUACUCCCAGGGUAGAGGUGAAAUUCUGUAAUCCUGGGAGGACCGCCUGUUGCGAAGGCGUCUAACUGGAACGGUUCUGACGGUGAGGGACGAAAGUUAGGGGCGCGAACCGGAUUAGAUACCCGGGUAGUCCUAACUGUAAACGAUGCGGACUUGGUGUUGGGGUGGCUUUGAGCUGCUCCAGUGCCGAAGGGAAGCUGUUAAGUCCGCCGCCUGGGAAGUACGGUCGCAAGACUGAAACUUAAAGGAAUU